CUGAAGACCGGACCCUGUGUCUCGUGCAUGCUUGGUGAGCACACUAUCAUUGAGCCACAACCCCAGAUCCACGUCAGUAGCUUCUAGUGACUUAUUUCAUUUAUCAAAGUCUGCUUUAUGUUUUUCCUUAUUAUAGCUCUUACAAAAUUUCCUACCUUUUGGACUUGAAAAAUAUUCUGUAGUUUAUAUAUUUUAAAUUUUCUUAUUUACUUAUUUCAAGGAAUAUUUUGUUUGCUUUGACAUGAUGUCUCUUUUGAAUAAUAUUUUAACAAUUGCAGAUGUCUUAAUUUGCUAUAAACUUUGGGUUUACUACCAUACUCACCUAGAAUUCUAUAUGCCUAGUGGUCUUAUUGCCAGUAUUAACUAUUGAAUAUUGUAGCUUUUUAAGUCAGAACAUUGUUCCAAUUUGGUUGUGUUUUGAAUAUUUUUGAGUUAUUCAUAACAAUUUGUAGAAUAUCUUUUUUCUCUUUUUGGGAAAAAUAACAUUUGGAGUUUAAUAGAUAUUGCAUGAACUUCCAGAAAACUUUGAGGAGUAGAAAUAUCUUUUAAUUUUGCCCUUCAAUUCAUGAAAAAGACCAAAUCAACUAAUUAUGAAAUAUUUAUGCAUUUUCUAACAUCACUUUCACUUUUUAAAAAAUAUUUUUUUACUUUUAGUUGGACACAAUAUUUAUUUCUAUGUCGUGCUGAGGAUCUAACCCAGUGCUUCACAGGUGCAAGGUGGGUGCUCUACCACUGAGCUACAACCCCAGUCCCUCUUUCACUUUUGAUUUUAAUUUUAUUCCAUAAUAUGUAGGAAAUGUUAAUAUUUUCAUAUAUAUUAACUUUUUAUAACCUGAGUUGUUCUAUCCAGUAUAAUAUUUCAUUUGCUAUUGAGAACAUUACUUUUGUAAAUGUAAUUUGUUCAAAAUAGUUUUUCUGAGUCUUUUUUUUUUUUCUGUUUGGUGAUUGCCGUUUUGUUUGACUUUACAAGAAGCUAGAUAUUGUGUCUCCUAGUACUACAAUGUUAUUUCAUACUACAAUGUUAUUUCCUAUUUUGUUAUCCAAUUUUUUCAAUAUUUGCUUUCUAUAUUUGGGAAGUAUGAUGUGAGUUACAAGUGUUCCUACUGUUAUUGUAGUAAUGGAGGGGGGAAAAAGUUUUCAUUUUUAAGUUUAAUUAAUGUACUUUGGUAAUGGGGAUUGAGGCCAAGGGUGCUGAACCACUGCUCCAAAUCUCUGGUCCUUUUUAUAUUUUAUUUUGAGACAUGAUUUCCCUAACUUGCUUGGGGCCUUUCUAAGUUGGUGAGGCUGGUUUGAGCUUCCUUAAGCAGCUUCCUUAGCUGCUGGGUUUUCAGGUGUGUGCUAGAGCACCUAGCUACUUUCAUCGUCAUAUAAUUUUCUAGUCUACCUGUCACAGUUUCUUUAUUAAAAAUCUGUUUUGCCCCAUGUAACUGUUAUUUCAAACUAUGUUUUCCAUAUUGUAAUUUUCUUAUUCCAUUUGGUUAAUGUUGUAUGCGAUAUUCUCAUAUUCUUUUGCAUUUUAUUUGUGUUCUUACACUUAAAGCAUUUUAUAC
Molecule: long non-coding RNA, 1550 nt
Filed under: Marmota monax (woodchuck)
Lineage: Eukaryota; Metazoa; Chordata; Mammalia; Rodentia; Sciuridae
Source: RNAcentral